RNAcentral lists this ribosomal RNA (301 nucleotides) under uncultured bacterium. RNAcentral describes it as "partial 16S ribosomal RNA". It matches the Rfam family "Bacterial small subunit ribosomal RNA", at positions 509 to 809 of the family's 1533-position model. The record is from RNAcentral.
CAGCAGCCGCGGUAAUACGUAGGGCGCAAGCGUUGUCCGGAAUUAUUGGGCGUAAAGAGCUCGUAGGCGGUCUGUCGCGUCUGGUGUGAAAUCCCGAGGCUCAACCUCGGGCUUGCAUCGGGUACGGGCAGACUAGAGUGCGGUAGGGGAGACUGGAAUUCCUGGUGUAGCGGUGGAAUGCGCAGAUAUCAGGAGGAACACCGAUGGCGAAGGCAGGUCUCUGGGCCGCAACUGACGCUGAGGAGCGAAAGCAUGGGGAGCGAACAGGAUUAGAUACCCCAGUAGUCCCUGUCUCUUAUAA